RNAcentral lists this ribosomal RNA (128 nucleotides) under Xeromphalina sp. Its description in RNAcentral is "partial large subunit ribosomal RNA". The record is from RNAcentral. Lineage: Eukaryota; Fungi; Basidiomycota; Agaricomycetes; Agaricales; Mycenaceae.
CGGGAAAAGCUCAAAUUUAAAAUCUGGCGGUCUCUGGCCGUCCGAGUUGUAAGUUAGAGAAGUGUUACCCGCGCUGGACCGUGUACAAGUCUCCUGGAACAGGACGUCACAGAGGGUGAGAAUCCCGU